GCAGAGCCCCAAAGCCCAACGUGCUGCACGGAUUCCUCCGUGCGGCCGCCAGCAGCGCCGGCCUCGGCCGCGGCAUUCCUCACUCCAAUAGGCAUUCGGCCAUUUUCUCAAAAUACCAAACACAAAGCAGCUCUUUGCAAAACUCGGGCGCUCUCGCUUCCUCCCGGCCGGGCGCGCUCACUGCACGCGCUCCCACCCCGGCUCGCGCGACUCGCCCCGACCCUCGUCCCGGAGCCCUUUCCCCGGGUGCCCCCCCCCCACGCCGAGCGGGGCCGGCGGGGCAAGCCCGGGGCGCCGUUGGGCCAGACCCGGGCCUCCCCGCUCGUCGCCGCCGCCGCCGCCGCCGCCCCCUCCCCGGCCCCGCGGGCCCGAGUCCGGGAAGGGGAAGGCAAAGUUACCGCGUCGCCGGCGCCCCGGGCUCACCCUCCGCGGCGGGCCCGGGAGGCUCCGCGGGCGCCCUCCGGAGGCGUCGGGCCCCAAGCGCCGGAGGGGCCCCCACGCGCGCCCCGGAAGUCUGAGAACUCACUGCCCCACGGCGCCCCGCGGGCCGCGCGCCCCGGUCCCGCCAGCUCGCGCGCGGAGGCGGCCGGGCGCGGGGGGCCGCGGCGGCGGGGCGGCCCGGGAGCAGAAAUCGCUGUCCAGCCCCAUUGGCGGAGCCGCCCGGGCCGCGGGGCUGACUCAACCCGCCCGGCCGCACUCAACGGCGCCUUCCGGCGCAAGGGAGAGGCCGCGGAGGGAGGGGGCCGGCGGGGCCGGCGGGGCCGGCGGGGCCGACAGGGCCGCGGGCCGGCGAGGGGCUGCGGCGGGACCUGGGGGCCGGGGGCGCGGGGAGGCAGCUCCGGGGCCGGGGCCGGGGCCGGGGCCGCAGGCGGCGCGGCUCCUCGGGACCCCGCUCCGAGGGCGCCCGGGCCCGCGACUGGGGAGGGGGUCCUGGCUCCACGCCGCUCCCCGGGGACGCCCCCGGCCCAGCCCCCGGGCCGCGCCGGUGUAACCCGAUCCCGCCCGGCCGCCCGCCCCCGCCCCGCGCCGCGGCCGCCGCCGGAGCCACAGUAUCUGCAAAUCAGCCCUGGACAGCGCCUCGCUCCGCGUCCUUCCGCGCCCUCCCCCUGCCGCCGCCGCCGCCGCCGCCGCCGCCGCCCGGCCCUCCCCCACCCGGCCGAGCCCCCGGCCCUGCGCCGCGCUUACCGGCCUUCCCCGGCGAGGAGGCGCGGGCGACCCGCCGUCGCCGCUCCUCCGCCGACUACUUUUCUUUGUUGCCGGAGUUUCGGGGGGAGGGGAGGGGGAGGAUGGAAAAGUUGGGCGCUGGGGACGUCGAGGCCCGCGAAGGCCCAGGACUGGGGCUCGCAGAGAGCGCUCAGGCCGCCGGCUCCCGCCCCGCCGUCCCGGCCGCCGCCGCCGCCGCCGCCGCCGCCGCCGGGGUCUGUGGCCCGGGGCCUCGGCGGCGCUCGCUCUGCUGCUGCGCCGCGAGCUCGCGGGAGCCGCACAUUCCAGCACAGGAGGCUGCGCCGCGCACCCAGCCCGCGCCGCCGCCGCCGCCGCUGCCGCCGCCGCCGCCGCCGCCGCCCGCGGGACACGCCCCCUCCACCGCCCGCGCGCGCCCGCGGGACACGCCCACCCCGCCGCCCGCGCGCGUGGCCGCCC
This 1641-nucleotide long non-coding RNA is filed under the name Canis lupus familiaris (dog). Its description in RNAcentral is "lncRNA (ENSCAFG00845013958.1)". Lineage: Eukaryota; Metazoa; Chordata; Mammalia; Carnivora; Canidae. The record is from RNAcentral.